Molecule: ribosomal RNA, 465 nt
Filed under: uncultured bacterium
Lineage: Bacteria
Description: partial 16S ribosomal RNA
Rfam family: Bacterial small subunit ribosomal RNA
Source: RNAcentral
CUACGGGCCGCAGCAGUGGGGAAUAUUGGACAAUGGGGGAAACCCUGAUCCAGCAAUGCCGCGUGUGUGAAGAAGGCCUGCGGGUUGUAAAGCACUUUCGGUUGGGAGGACUGCUUCUAGCACUAAUAUUGUUGGAAGUUGACGUUACCUUCAGAAGAAGCACCGGCUAACUCCGUGCCAGCAGCCGCGGUAAUACGGAGGGUGCAGGCGUUAAUCGGAAUUACUGGGCGUAAAGCGCGCGUAGGCGGCUAGAUCAGUCGGGUGUGAAAGCCCCGGGCUUAACCUGGGAACUGCAUCCGAUACUGUCUAUCUUGAGUACAGGAGAGGAGAGUGGAAUUCCACAUGUAGCGGUGAAAUGCGUAGAUAUGUGGAGGAACACCAAUGGCGAAGGCAGCUCUCUGGCCUGAUACUGACGCUGAGGUGCGAAAGCGUGGGGAGCAAACAGGAUUAGAUACCCCGGUAGUC